Molecule: small nucleolar RNA, 132 nt
Filed under: Pelecanus crispus (Dalmatian pelican)
Lineage: Eukaryota; Metazoa; Chordata; Aves; Pelecaniformes; Pelecanidae
Description: Small nucleolar RNA SNORA69
Rfam family: Small nucleolar RNA SNORA69
About the family: U69 is a member of the H/ACA class of small nucleolar RNAs (snoRNAs) which act as guides in the the modification of uridines to pseudouridines.
Source: Rfam by way of RNAcentral
AAAGCAGGCUGCAAUUACAGUGCUUCAUUCUGUGGGAGUACUGCCAUUUUCAUGCUGAGAGUAACUCUGUUAAUGCUGUCUUUGGCUUCACCUGUACGGUGGUGAAACCGUUUGUUCUUAACAUGUACAAGU